GUUUCGGCUGUCACUGCAGGAUGGGCCCGCGGCGCAUUAGCUAGUUGGUGGGGUAACGGCCCACCAAGGCGACGAUGCGUAGCCGACCUGAGAGGGUGAUCGGCCACACUGCGACUGAGACACGGCCCAGACUCCUACGGGAGGCAGCAGUAGGGAAUCUUCCGCAAUGGACGCAAGUCUGACGGAGCAACGCCGCGUGAGUGUCGAAGGUUUUCGGAUCGUAAAACUCUGUUGUGAGGGAAGAAACCGUACCAGCUAACUACUGGUACCUUGACGGUACCUCACCAGAAAGCCACGGCUAACUACGUGCCAGCAGCCGCGGUAAUACGUAGGUGGCAAGCGUUGUCCGGAAUUAUUGGGCCUAAAGCGCGCGCAGGCGGUCCCUUAAGUCUGAUGUGAAAGCCCACGGCUCAACCGUGGAGGGUCAUUGGAAACUGGGGGACUUGAGUGCAGAAGAGGAAAGUGGAA
RNAcentral lists this ribosomal RNA (468 nucleotides) under Planomicrobium sp. RNAcentral's name for it is "bacterial SSU rRNA". It matches the Rfam family "Bacterial small subunit ribosomal RNA", at positions 202 to 666 of the family's 1533-position model. Lineage: Bacteria; Bacillati; Bacillota; Bacilli; Caryophanales; Caryophanaceae. The record is from RNAcentral.